This 297-nucleotide ribosomal RNA is filed under the name uncultured Pseudomonadota bacterium. RNAcentral describes it as "uncultured proteobacterium partial 16S ribosomal RNA". It matches the Rfam family "Bacterial small subunit ribosomal RNA", at positions 29 to 351 of the family's 1533-position model. Lineage: Bacteria; Pseudomonadati; Pseudomonadota. The record is from RNAcentral.
AGCGAACGCUGGCGGCAGGCUUAACACAUGCAAGUCGAACGCCCGUAGCAAUACGGGAGUGGCAGACGGGUGAGUAACGCGUGGGAACAUGCCCUUUGGUUUGGAAUAACUCAGGGAAACUUGAGCUAAUACCGGAUAAGCCCGAGAGGGGAAAGAUUUAUCGCCGAAGGAUUGGCCCGCGUCCGAUUAGCUAGUUGGUGAGGUAAUGGCUCACCAAGGCGACGAUCGGUAGCUGGUCUGAGAGGAUGAUCAGCCACACUGGGACUGAGACACGGCCCAGACUCCUACGGGUGGCUG